CCUACGGGAGGCAGCAGUGGGGAAUAUUGCACAAUGGGCGAAAGCCUGAUGCAGCAACGCCGCGUGAAGGAAGACGGUUUUCGGAUUGUAAACUUCUAUCAGUAGGGAAGAAAGAAAUGACGGUACCUAAAUAAGCAGCCCCGGCUAACUACGUGACAGCAGCCGCGGUAAUACGUAGGGGGCAAGCGUUAUCCGGAAUUACUGGGUGUAAAGGGAGAGUAGGCGGCAAGGUAAGCGAUAUGUGAAAGCCUUAAGCUUAACUUAAGGACUGCAUAACGAACUAGCUAGCUAGAGUACAGGAGAGGAAAGCGGAAUUCCUAGUGUAGCGGUGAAAUGCGUAGAUAUUAGGAAGAACACCAGUGGCGAAGGCGGCUUUCUGGACGGAAACUGACGCUGAGGCUCGAAAGCGUGGGGAGCGAACAGGAUUAGAUACCCGAGUAGUC
This 443-nucleotide ribosomal RNA is filed under the name uncultured bacterium. Its description in RNAcentral is "partial 16S ribosomal RNA". It matches the Rfam family "Bacterial small subunit ribosomal RNA", at positions 338 to 795 of the family's 1533-position model. The record is from RNAcentral.